GAGAGCAGUGUAGAUAGAGGGCUGCCGCAGCUGCUCACUUUCAAACUAGGGAGUGAACUUCUACACUUUUCCAGCCUGGAGUUCCUUCCAGGCAGAGACGCCAGGGAGGAACAUCCAGUGAGACCAUUUGGAUGAGCACACGCACAAUCGACUAAUCUCACAGACUUUGGUCAAACUCUGUGGCAGAAGCAACAGUGAUGGAGGAGCCUGGCAUGCUACAGUCCAUGGAGAGUCGGGCACGACUUAGAGCCUGAAGAGCAACAGAUGAAUCUCAGUCUCGCACACACUGGAGGAUGCACUGCUUUAGCCCAGUGGGUCUCAACCCUUGCUGCUUCAUAGAGCCACCUGGGAGCUUUCCAAGGCCUGGGGCAGGGCCUCUUAUCCAUUCUUCUUAAGAGCACUCAGGAUAAUGCUGUGUGCAGCUUGCAACACCUUCGUGUGGCAUGUGGGAUCCCCAACCAGUGAUUGAACCCGUGCCCUGCACAGUGGGAAUGUGGAGUCUUAACCACUGGACCACCAGGGGAGUCCCUAAAAAUUAAUUUUUUAUUUUUUAUCAAGGUAACAUGAGUACAUGGUUAAAAAAUAAAAAUUGGAAAGUAUCACACCCAGUGCCAGAAUCCAACUCUCUAGAGUCAAACAUCGUAAACUCUAAGUCUUCCUUUGGGCAUUUUCUACUGUAUUUAAAAAAAAUCUGUUUAUAAUGCUGUUUCUCUCCCCCCCACCCCAGUUUUAUUGUGAUCUAAUUGACAUACAUCACAGUAUAACUUUCAAAUGUACACCAUGAUGGUUUGACUUACAUGUAUUAUGAAAUAUAUUCUCAAUGAAAAAUUUUCUUCUACAUUAUCUACUGACUUCCUACUUAAAUAGAUUUUGCUCUCCUUUUCCAACCUGGCAACUCCCUCUACAACCACUGCUCUCUUCACGCUCUUAAUUCAGUUAUAUUGUGAAUAUCUGGGGUUUGCCUUACUGUGACUAUGUACAUACUUUCCAUGGUUGAGUUACAUGAGGUGCAAUUAUUACAUCUUAUUUCUUAUAUGAAUAGUAGAAACAAUGUUAUGUGUUCAUCCCCUGUUUCCUUUUCCCGGGAAAGCAGGAGAUGACAUCUCCCACCCUCCUUUGUGGCUGGGACCAUGUGACUAAGUUCUGGACAAUGGAAAUGCAAGCGGAAGUGAUACAGCCCUGAUCAGCCCCAGGCAGUCCUAGGCCUUCCCCACUCCCUGACCCUCCCCUCCCGGAAGCUGGAGCAAAGGGCACUGAAAUGGUGGCACUGCAAGAUGGAGGGGGGCUGGGCUCCUGAGUCCCCACCUGGAGGAGAGCUGCCAACCAGUUUCAGCCUGUGACAUGGAUGAGGUAUAAACCUUUGUGUGUUAAGCCGCUGAGAUUUUAAGAUGUGUCUGUUAUGGCAGCUACCAUUUAAUACCUAAUACUUCCAGCUUUUUUUUUUAAAAUUGUUCUCCAGUUUGCUUAAUAUCCUUUCAAUCAUCCUAAUUCAUCUCCAAACGCUCCCACAGAAUUACAAACCUCCUCUCAGUAAGGGUGAACUCCCAGUCUCUUCAGCUGUGCUGUCUGCCCUUCCCCUCCCCACCCCUCAACUAACCCUUUGCCUAGUUGAUGGAACUUCAGGCUUUUUCUCUGCCUCACAGAGAGGCAGGAGGCUGGUUGGAAGGGGAUACAGGUUAGAUUUAAGGAGAGGUGGCCUAACGUAAUGGUUAAGACCUCAAGCUUUUCCAAUUUAGUAGUUCUAUGAC
This is a long non-coding RNA of Bos taurus (domestic cattle), 1748 nucleotides long. NCBI's taxonomy places the organism in Eukaryota, Metazoa, Chordata, Mammalia, Artiodactyla, Bovidae. The record is from Ensembl.